GUGUCAGUAGUGCAACGGGUCAGAGCACACGCUCUCAGAUAGGGAGGAAUGCGGGUUUGAGUCCCGCCUGACGUCA
This is a non-coding RNA of Parelaphostrongylus tenuis, 76 nucleotides long. The record is from the annotation of a GenBank genome assembly. Lineage: Eukaryota; Metazoa; Nematoda; Chromadorea; Rhabditida; Metastrongylidae.